UAGGGAAUCUUCCGCAAUGGACGCAAGUCUGACGGAGCAACGCCGCGUGAGUGAAGAAGGAUUUCGGUUCGUAAAACUCUGUUGUUAGAGAAGAACAGCGCAUAGAGUAACUGUUAUGCGUGUGACGGUAUCUAACCAGAAAGCCACGGCUAACUACGUGCCAGCAGCCGCGGUAAUACGUAGGUGGCAAGCGUUGUCCGGAUUUAUUGGGCGUAAAGCGAGCGCAGGCGGUCAAUUAAGUCUGAUGUGAAAGCCCCCGGCUCAACCGGGGAGGGUCAUUGGAAACUGGUUGACUUGAGUGCAGAAGAGGGGAGUGGAAUUCCAUGUGUAGCGGUGAAAUGCGUAGAUAUAUGGAGGAACACCAGUGGCGAAGGCGACUCUCUGGUCUGUAACUGACGCUAAGGCUCGAAAGCGUGGGUAGCAAACAGG
RNAcentral lists this ribosomal RNA (429 nucleotides) under Bacteroidota bacterium. RNAcentral describes it as "Bacteroidetes bacterium partial 16S ribosomal RNA". It matches the Rfam family "Bacterial small subunit ribosomal RNA", at positions 355 to 776 of the family's 1533-position model. Lineage: Bacteria; Pseudomonadati; Bacteroidota. The record is from RNAcentral.